UGGCGGACGGGUGAGUAACGCGUGGGUAACCUGCCUCAUACAGGGGGAUAACAGUUAGAAAUGACUGCUAAAACCGCAUAAGCGCACAAGACCGCAUGGUUUGGUGUGAAAAACUCCGGUGGUAUGAGAUGGACCCGCGUCUGAUUAGCUAGUUGGAGAGGUAACGGCUCACCAAGGCGACGAUCAGUAGCCGACCUGAGAGGGUGACCGGCCACAUUGGGACUGAGACACGGCCCAAACUCCUACGGAAGGCAGCAG
RNAcentral lists this ribosomal RNA (258 nucleotides) under uncultured bacterium. RNAcentral's name for it is "partial 16S ribosomal RNA". It matches the Rfam family "Bacterial small subunit ribosomal RNA", at positions 96 to 354 of the family's 1533-position model. The record is from RNAcentral.